UUCGAAGAGCCAUAGUCUAGAUAUUUGGUUUUGGCAUAGGGCUUCAAGCUUGAAGGUAAGCCCAAGAUUUUGAUCAAAUUUUGAUGGGAUCAAAACCUAAAAUUUAGUUGAUGUUUGUUUUACAAUCCUAAGCUUAAAACGAGACAUUCUCAGAUUAGGCACUAUACGUAAGAGUCAACUCGGUUUGAUAAAUUUUGAGCUAAUCUAAACCUAUUUCUAGUCCUAUUGUCAUUACCACCAUUGCAUCCAUCAUGGUCAUCAUCAUUACUGC
RNAcentral lists this long non-coding RNA (271 nucleotides) under Elaeis guineensis (African oil palm). RNAcentral's name for it is "long non-coding RNA (EGUI_LNC030407)". The record is from RNAcentral. Lineage: Eukaryota; Viridiplantae; Streptophyta; Magnoliopsida; Arecales; Arecaceae.